This 448-nucleotide ribosomal RNA is filed under the name uncultured bacterium. RNAcentral's name for it is "bacterial SSU rRNA". It matches the Rfam family "Bacterial small subunit ribosomal RNA", at positions 330 to 793 of the family's 1533-position model. The record is from RNAcentral.
UCCAGACUCCUACGGGAGGCAGCAGUGGGGAAUAUUGGGCAAUGGGCGCAAGCCUGACCCAGCAACGCCGCGUGAAGGAAGAAGGCUUUCGGGUUGUAAACUUCUUUUAAGAGGGAAGAGAAGAAGACGGUACCUCUUGAAUAAGCCACGGCUAACUACGUGCCAGCAGCCGCGGUAAUACGUAGGUGGCAAGCGUUGUCCGGAUUUACUGGGUGUAAAGGGCGUGCAGCCGGGCUGACAAGUCAGAUGUGAAAUCCCGCGGCUCAACCGCGGAACUGCAUUUGAAACUGUCAGUCUUGAGUACCGGAGAGGUCAUCGGAAUUCCUUGUGUAGCGGUGGAAUGCGUAGAUAUUAGGAGGAACACCAGAGGCGAAGGCGAUUAACUGGACCGUAACUGACGCUGAGGCACGAAAGUGUGGGUAGCAAACAGGAUUAGAUACCCUUGUAU